RNAcentral lists this ribosomal RNA (1373 nucleotides) under Enterococcus durans. RNAcentral's name for it is "bacterial SSU rRNA". It matches the Rfam family "Bacterial small subunit ribosomal RNA", at positions 17 to 1362 of the family's 1533-position model. The record is from RNAcentral. Lineage: Bacteria; Bacillati; Bacillota; Bacilli; Lactobacillales; Enterococcaceae.
UCCUGGCUCAGGACGAACGCUGGCGGCGUGCCUAAUACAUGCAAGUCGUACGCUUCUUUUUCCACCGGAGCUUGCUCCACCGGAAAAAGAAGAGUGGCGAACGGGUGAGUAACACGUGGGUAACCUGCCCAUCAGAAGGGGAUAACACUUGGAAACAGGUGCUAAUACCGUAUAACAAUCGAAACCGCAUGGUUUUGAUUUGAAAGGCGCUUUCGGGUGUCGCUGAUGGAUGGACCCGCGGUGCAUUAGCUAGUUGGUGAGGUAACGGCUCACCAAGGCCACGAUGCAUAGCCGACCUGAGAGGGUGAUCGGCCACAUUGGGACUGAGACACGGCCCAAACUCCUACGGGAGGCAGCAGUAGGGAAUCUUCGGCAAUGGACGAAAGUCUGACCGAGCAACGCCGCGUGAGUGAAGAAGGUUUUCGGAUCGUAAAACUCUGUUGUUAGAGAAGAACAAGGAUGAGAGUAACUGUUCAUCCCUUGACGGUAUCUAACCAGAAAGCCACGGCUAACUACGUGCCAGCAGCCGCGGUAAUACGUAGGUGGCAAGCGUUGUCCGGAUUUAUUGGGCGUAAAGCGAGCGCAGGCGGUUUCUUAAGUCUGAUGUGAAAGCCCCCGGCUCAACCGGGGAGGGUCAUUGGAAACUGGGAGACUUGAGUGCAGAAGAGGAGAGUGGAAUUCCAUGUGUAGCGGUGAAAUGCGUAGAUAUAUGGAGGAACACCAGUGGCGAAGGCGGCUCUCUGGUCUGUAACUGACGCUGAGGCUCGAAAGCGUGGGGAGCAAACAGGAUUAGAUACCCUGGUAGUCCACGCCGUAAACGAUGAGUGCUAAGUGUUGGAGGGUUUCCGCCCUUCAGUGCUGCAGCUAACGCAUUAAGCACUCCGCCUGGGGAGUACGACCGCAAGGUUGAAACUCAAAGGAAUUGACGGGGGCCCGCACAAGCGGUGGAGCAUGUGGUUUAAUUCGAAGCAACGCGAAGAACCUUACCAGGUCUUGACAUCCUUUGACCACUCUAGAGAUAGAGCUUCCCCUUCGGGGGCAAAGUGACAGGUGGUGCAUGGUUGUCGUCAGCUCGUGUCGUGAGAUGUUGGGUUAAGUCCCGCAACGAGCGCAACCCUUAUUGUUAGUUGCCAUCAUUUAGUUGGGCACUCUAGCAAGACUGCCGGUGACAAACCGGAGGAAGGUGGGGAUGACGUCAAAUCAUCAUGCCCCUUAUGACCUGGGCUACACACGUGCUACAAUGGGAAGUACAACGAGUCGCGAAGUCGCGAGGCUAAGCUAAUCUCUUAAAGCUUCUCUCAGUUCGGAUUGUAGGCUGCAACUCGCCUACAUGAAGCCGGAAUCGCUAGUAAUCGCGGAUCAGCACGCCGCGG